UUCUGAUGUCAAAUACCAUCUGGCAUUAAUUAUGUGAAGUUGUUGAAGGAAGGAUUGAAAUGGGAGGUGUAAGGAACCCAGUCAGACUAACUGGUAAAUUACCAGUCAAGAUAAGCUGCAAACCGAGUGGAAUAUUUGAUUUGAUAAAAUUAUGCUCCAGCUUUUCAAAAUCUUUUUCGAGAAAAUGAAUUCAUAGCAUACGCAACGGGGACAGCUAACUGGCACCUGAGAUUUACUAGGCAUGGUUGCACCAGACAACGAUACCAGGUUUAUAUUGCAGUUUCAGAAAUGACCAUUAUUAAUUUUCAGGCCAUAAUGGUGGUUCUGGCUAGGACUUUUAGUGCCCAACUAUGAAGUUGCAGCUUUCACCCGUCACCUUUGGCCAUCAUACGAAUAUAGAGUUCGAGAUAAUCAUAGGCCUUUGGAGAUAGAAUUCUAAACUCAAUAGUGCUCCAAAGAUUGUCAUUUUUUCCAAGUUCUGCAAAUAUCUGUUUCAUUGGUAACAGUUCUAAGUUACUAACUAGUAUCAGCAGACUCUGCACCAACAUCUGCAACUUUUUUGGUUGCUUUGCUAGUA
This is a long non-coding RNA of Populus nigra (black poplar), 577 nucleotides long. RefSeq lists it as uncharacterized. NCBI's taxonomy places the organism in Eukaryota, Viridiplantae, Streptophyta, Magnoliopsida, Malpighiales, Salicaceae. The record is from RefSeq and is a predicted model, not a curated record. The transcript has 2 exons.